ACGCUGGCGGCGUGCCUAACACAUGCAAGUCGAACGGAGAUUACAGACGGAAGUUUUCGGAUGGAAGGCUGUAAUUCUUAGUGGCGGACGGGUGAGUAACGCGUGGGCAACCUGCCCUAUACAGGGGGAUAGCAGCUGGAAACGGCUGGUAAGACCGCAUAAGUCGGUUAAACCGCAUGGUUUGACUGGGAAAUGAGCAAUCAGGUAUAGGAUGGGCCCGCGUCCGAUUAGCCAGUUGGCAGGGUAAAAGCCUACCAAAGCAACGAUCGGUAGCCGGACUGAGAGGUCGGACGGCCACAUUGGGACUGAGAGACGGCCCAAACUCCUACGGGAGGCAGCAGUGGGGGAUAUUGCACAAUGGAGGGAACUCUGAUGCAGCGACGCCGCGUGAGUGAAGAAGUAUUUCGGUAUGUAAUGCUCUAUCAGCAGGGAAGAUGAUGACGGUACCCGACUAAGAAGCCCCGGCUAACUACGUGCCAGCAGCCGCGGUAAUACGUAGGGGGCAAGCGUUAUCCGGAUUUACUGGGUGUAAAGGGAGCGCAGGCGGUUUGGCAAGUUGAGAGUGGAAGCAGGGGGCUCAACCCCCUGACUGCUCCCAAAACUGUUAAACUUGAGUAUGGGAGAGGCAGGCGGAAUUCCUAGUGUAGCGGUGAAAUGCUUAGAUAUUAGGAAGAACACCGGUGGCGAAGGCGGCCUGCUGGACCAAAACUGACGCUGAGGCUCGAAAGCGUGGGUAGCAAACAGGAUUAGAUACCCUGGUAGUCCACGCUGUAAACGAUGAAUACUAGGUGCUGGGAGGCAUAAGCCUUUCGGUGCCGCCGCAAACGCAUUAAGUAUUCCACCUGGGGAGUACGUUCGCAAGAAUGAAACUCAAAGGAAUUGACGGGGACCCGCACAAGCGGUGG
Molecule: ribosomal RNA, 905 nt
Filed under: uncultured bacterium
Lineage: Bacteria
Description: bacterial SSU rRNA
Rfam family: Bacterial small subunit ribosomal RNA
Source: RNAcentral